GACGAACGCUGGCGGCGUGCUUAACACAUGCAAGUCGAACGGAAAGGCCCUGCUUUUGUGGGGUGCUCGAGUGGCGAACGGGUGAGUAACACGUGAGUAACCUGCCCUUGACUUUGGGAUAACUUCAGGAAACUGGGGCUAAUACCGGAUAGGAGCUCCUGCUGCAUGGUGGGGGUUGGAAAGUUUCGGCGGUGGGGGAUGGACUCGCGGCUUAUCAGCUUGUUGGUGGGGUAGUGGCUUACCAAGGCUUUGACGGGUAGCCGGCCUGAGAGGGUGACCGGCCACAUUGGGACUGAGAUACGGCCCAGACUCCUACGGGAGGCAGCAGUGGGGAAUAUUGCACAAUGGGCGGAAGCCGGAUGCAGCAACGCCGCGUGCUGGAUGACGGCCUUCGGGUUGUAAACCGCUUUCGCCUGUGACGAAGCGUGAGUGACGGUAAUGGGUAAAGAAGCACCGGCUAACUACGUG
Molecule: ribosomal RNA, 468 nt
Filed under: uncultured bacterium
Lineage: Bacteria
Description: partial 16S ribosomal RNA
Rfam family: Bacterial small subunit ribosomal RNA
Source: RNAcentral